Long non-coding RNA from Ostrea edulis (European flat oyster), 855 nucleotides. RefSeq lists it as uncharacterized. The record is from RefSeq and is a predicted model, not a curated record. NCBI's taxonomy places the organism in Eukaryota, Metazoa, Mollusca, Bivalvia, Ostreida, Ostreidae. The transcript is spliced from 2 exons.
AAAAUUUCAUCAUUGGCACGACACCCCGAGGUUUUUAGGUGAAAGAUAUUUGAUUUAUGUGACAUGUGAACUUCAGUGCAAAAGCAUGUCCCUGUCCCGGAUUUAAAUCACAACCCUGAUUACGUCAGCCUGCUUUAUUCUUAACUGGUCCCCUGUUGUGACAGCUCCCGAGACCAGUUAACGUAAACCCGGGACGGGGGACAUGUUGAAAAUGGAUUAAAAGCAAGUAAGUGUUGAUUUCCUUGUGACAGUUCUGUGCAUUACUGUUAAAUGUUUGAAAACAACUUGUCUAUUGCGUAAAUCCAGGCACAUCUGAGUCGAAACGUCGGUCGAGGCAUAAACCGUCACCGACUCCGGCAUUUACACGUUUUACAGAAUCAAAAUAUGAAUGCUUGCGAAGAGAAGUGGAUGAAGCAUAUGUCUCUCGACUUCUCUAAAGAGAAUAUUUACAUGUCUAUCUUAUAUCGGGGUUUCCACUGUAUCCAUGUCUGUCUUAUACAAAAAAAAACUGUAUCGGGGUUUCCACUGUAUCAGUGCCUAUCUUUAGACAUCCACCGCAAGGAUCCUUUACUGCUUAUGGCAAAAGCUCAAGUAAACGAUAUACUAGGCUAGUGUAGAAUGUUUGAAAUAUAUUGCCUUUGUGCUUACGCCCAGUAUUGGUAAACGUCCAAGUUUAACGAAGUUAUGUUCUUAUUCACCAGUUCAACCGAACUUAAAUCAUUUAUAAAAUAAAACACAAACAUCUGUAUGUAGGAUGAACUCGCAUGCACUAGUGCAACAUACUUUUCUAAUAAAUACAUAUGUACAAAAUCAAUCUUUCAUUUGACUUCAAAAAACCCGUUCUACAAAAGAAAA